UGGUGAAGUGACAAGUACAAUUAAAGGU
RNAcentral lists this non-coding RNA (28 nucleotides) under Homo sapiens (human). The record is from RNAcentral. Lineage: Eukaryota; Metazoa; Chordata; Mammalia; Primates; Hominidae.